Molecule: ribosomal RNA, 437 nt
Filed under: uncultured bacterium
Lineage: Bacteria
Description: partial 16S ribosomal RNA
Rfam family: Bacterial small subunit ribosomal RNA
Source: RNAcentral
AGCGAACGCUGGCGGCAGGCUUAACACAUGCAAGUCGAGCGGGCAUCCUUGUGGUGUCAGCGGCAGACGGGUGAGUAACGCGUGGGAACGUGCCCUUCGGUUCGGAAUAACUCGGGGAAACUUGAGCUAAUACCGGAUACGUGCGAGAGCAGAAAGGUUUAUCUGCCGAAGGAUCGGCCCGCGUCUGAUUAGCUAGUUGGUGAGGUUACGGCUCACCAAGGCGACGAUCAGUAGCUGGUCUGAGAGGAUGAUCAGCCACACUGGGACUGAGACACGGCCCAGACUCCUACGGGAGGCAGCAGUGGGGAAUAUUGGACAAUGGGGGCAACCCUGAUCCAGCCAUGCCGCGUGAGUGAUGACGGCCUUAGGGUUGUAAAGCUCUUUUCUCCGGGACGAUAAUGACGGUACCGGAGGAAUAAGCCCCGGCUAACUUCGUG